This 385-nucleotide ribosomal RNA is filed under the name uncultured bacterium. RNAcentral describes it as "bacterial SSU rRNA". It matches the Rfam family "Bacterial small subunit ribosomal RNA", at positions 28 to 416 of the family's 1533-position model. The record is from RNAcentral.
GACGAACGCUGGCGGCGUGCUUAACACAUGCAAGUCGAGCGGAAAGGCCCUUCGGGGUACUCGAGCGGCGAACGGGUGAGUAACACGUGGGUAACCUGCCCUUCACUCUGGGAUAACUCCGGGAAACCGGGGCUAAUACCGGAUACGACCACUUUAGGCAUCUUCGGUGGUGGAAAGUUUUCGGUUGGAGGAUGGACCCGCGGCCUAUCAGCUUGUUGGUGGGGUAAUGGCCUACCAAGGCAGUGACGGGUAGCCGGCCUGAGAGGGCGACCGGCCACACUGGGACUGAGACACGGCCCAGACUCCUACGGGAGGCAGCAGUGGGGAAGUAUUGCGCAAUGGGCGGAAGCCUGACGCAGCGACGCCGCGUGGGGGAGUGACGGCC